AAUCAUAACACAGUGUAAACACACUUCUGCAAUCAUCUCACGUAAUCAGAAAUGCUGUCAAUCUGAGGACAGACUUGUAAUCAUUAAACAUAAAACUGAAUUAUUUAGUCACUUCACUGAGUUUAUCCCAACCACAUCAUUCAGGUGACUCCAUUUCUAUACAAUUUUGAUCAAAGUGGAGAGAUUUUUACAGAUAACAUUUGGUAAUUAUUAGUCGGAUUUUCAGAUCAAUAACAUUUGUUGGUUUUUCACUAAGAUUCAGAACAAUCAAAACAUGUUUGAGUAAUUGUUACAAGUAAAUGGUUUUUCCGCUGGAGUAUAUCUGAUCAUCGGCUCUGAAGUCCUGUUGCUUUAGUUGUUCUUGCAGUCAUUGUUCUUGUUUUUUAUCUGUUGAGAAAAUGUGUUAAUUAUCGAAGUGAGUAUUAUUACUUUAAGUGUUUUAAAGUCCCAGUAGGAUGAUAGAAGAUGAGAAUGACUGUUAAUGUUUGUCAUUUCAGAAUGUCUGCACACACUAUCACAGGAUGAUCUGAUAUUGGCUCCACGACGCAGUUGCUACCAAUCAUACAAUUUCCCCUCCAGUAGGAAUUUUGUUACAACACAAACAGAACUGGAAUUUUUGGAAGGACCAGACAUACAGGCAGAUUUGGCUGCUGUUUUCAAUGAUUCUUCACAUGAUGAAAACUCCUCAGAUGACAGUCUGGAGGAUGAUCAGACUGAGGAGCUUCAGGAAACUCAAAGUCUUUGUGAUGCUAAAGAGACUCCAGCAGGAGCUCCUACAGCAGCUCGAGGUGCAAUGGGUUCUAAAAACACCUCUAUGCCUAAUUUUGCCAUGGAGAGAGAAGACACCGAUCAGAACACUGUUACCCAGAAUGCACUGCUGUUACCACUGCCAAGACGCUGCAGAUCCAAGAACAUUUCAAUGCCAAACCUCACUCUAGAACGAAAGGACUCAGAUGCCUCCAGCUAGAAGAUCAAGUGAACAGUUACAGGUUUUGCAGGAUUUUACGAAGAAUCAGAUCAAGAGCUUUACUUCCACCAUCAUCAGUAGCUAAAUAAUGUGAAAACCUGGACAACACAUUCAUACAUGACUAAUAACAGGGUGGUUUUUCACAACAUCCGAAAAGCAUCAGGUCAGACACUGAAUUAAACUUCUGGACAAUUGGACAUGAAACACAAUCCAGCAUCUGAUCACAUUUUAUUCACAUAUUCACAUUUUUAGUCACAUUUAAUUCACAUUGCAUUUAUGCACAUUAUUUACAUUUAUUAUAUUUUACUUACACGGAAAGCCCGGUGAAAACCAGAUACCUUUGAAGUGUUUUUAAAAUGCAAUGUUCGUUUUAAAGAUGUAUUACUGAAGUACUGAUGUUACAAGCACAGAAAAUAUGGACAUUUUACAUUUUAUGCAUGAAUUUAUUGUUUCAAAUAGUUUUAAAACUAUACAAAUCCUCAUUGCAUUUUGAAUAAGUUUAAACUGACUUUUGAUAAAGUGACAUUCCUUUUGGAAACUCCAGAAAAUUAAAUUUCAACCUGUGAAAUUAUGAGAAAAGUGUGUGUGUAUGUGUGUGUGUGUGGCACGUCCUGAUUUUGCCAAGUCCGAUAUGUUCCUAGGUCAACAUAUUUUGUUGACCCUGGAACAACAUUUUACUCCAAAAAUAUAUUCUUAACCAUAUCCCUACACCUAAACCUAACCUUAACAUGAGUAAUCCCUAAAAUCAGAGGAAAUGAUAGAUGAAUGACACUGAUGUACAAGCACCAAACACUGAUUUUAAGCAUAAACUUCACAAAAUCUAUAAACUGGUUCUUCAAAUCUGAUUGGUUAAUCACAAUGUUGUUCCAGGGUCAACAACGAUGUUGUCCCAGGAACGUGUCUCACUUGGUAAAAUCAGGUUAGGCGUGUGUGUGUGACUGUGUGUGUGUGUGUUUGUGUGGGUGUGUUGUUUCUUGGUCAUCUGUUAUUUGAGAUUUUUAAUCAAAGGCAUGUCUUGAUUCUGAAUGGAGUUGUGAUUGUAACCAGCAGAGGGAAGCAUGAAUCUGUGUGAGAGUCCAGAACCUUUACAAAACCCCUGAAACACAUUUUGUCCGUGUCAGUAGGUCAUCUACACGACUGCGUGAACCAUUACUGUAUGUAUGUACCUCACUUUACGCACAGCUGUGUCAUACUGAAAAAAAAAGAUUGAAACACACUGGAUAAAAGCAUCUUCUAAAUGUAAAUGUUUGAUUAUUCAGAAUACAUUCCAUACUCUCCUGUCAGCCAAGUGUACAGACGAGAAUUAACAUUUUGAGGGUGUACUAGACUGCUUUAUUUUACUUUUAGUGCAGCUCAACUGGGUAUUGUCCCAUUGGUUGGUAUUUGUGAAAGCUUAUCACAAACCCAGGAAAAAAAUUGUUGUAGUCCUAACGAGUUAUUCGUUUUAGUUUUUGAAAAGUGAUUUCUGCUAAAGAAAAUAUCUCCUUUUGAAUUGGACUUUGAGCUUUGUAACUUUGCAGAUCUUGACAGCAACCUUCCAGACUAACUAAAGUUGAAAAAAGUGAAAAAGCA
Molecule: long non-coding RNA, 2539 nt
Filed under: Carassius auratus (goldfish)
Lineage: Eukaryota; Metazoa; Chordata; Actinopteri; Cypriniformes; Cyprinidae
Description: lncRNA (ENSCARG00000035885.1)
Source: RNAcentral